Molecule: ribosomal RNA, 492 nt
Filed under: uncultured bacterium
Lineage: Bacteria
Description: partial 16S ribosomal RNA
Rfam family: Bacterial small subunit ribosomal RNA
Source: RNAcentral
AGUGAACGCUGGCGGUAGGCCUAACACAUGCAAGUCGAACGGCAGCACAGUAAGAGCUUGCUCUUACGGGUGGCGAGUGGCGGACGGGUGAGGAAUACAUCGGAAUCUACUUUUUCGUGGGGGAUAACGUAGGGAAACUUACGCUAAUACCGCAUACGACCUACGGGCGAAAGCAGGGGAUCUUCGGACCUUGCGCGAUUGAAUGAGCCGAUGUCGGAUUAGCUAGUUGGCGGGGUAAGGGCCCACCAAGGCGACGAUCCGUAGCUGGUCUGAGAGGAUGAUCAGCGACACUGGAACUGAGACACGGUCCAGACUCCUACGGGAGGCAGCAGUGGGGAAUAUUGGACAAUGGGCGCAAGCCUGAUCCAGCCACACCGCGUGGGUGAAGAAGGCCUUCGGGUUGUAAAGCCCUUUUGUUGGGAAAGAAAAGCAGCAGGUUAAUACCCCGCUGUUCUGACGGUACCCAAAGAAUAAGCACCGGCUAACUUCGUG